Meleagris gallopavo (turkey) is the source of this 769-nucleotide non-coding RNA. The record is from RefSeq and is a predicted model, not a curated record. Lineage: Eukaryota; Metazoa; Chordata; Aves; Galliformes; Phasianidae.
CGCGCACGCUCGCGACUGAGGGCGGCUGCCAGGCCGGGAAAUGGCGGCUGGGGCGAGGCGCCGAGAUAUGCGCGUGCCGCCAUCUUUCUCUAAUGGGGCUGUCCUGCCUUGUUGCUCUUACCUGCCUUGUUGGAAGGAAUAUUUCUGCUCUCCAGAUUGUGUCUUUUACUAAUAUUCUUUUCCCAGUGCUCUUAGCUGACUUCGGAUAAUCCUCUUUUCCAAUCCUAAGCACCCUGAGGAAGCUCUGAAGCUCUUUUUCAAGCCCAGCACAAGCUUCUAGCCCGGGAAGAAGAAAGGCACUGCCAGGAGCGGUUUUUCUUAUUUUUAUGUGUGGAAUGCUUGGCCUUUUGAAGAGAGGGAAUGGCUGCAGAUGAAGACAAGUGAGCAGUGUCAGUUUUCUUCCUGCCUUUCCCAUGUGAGCACAGGGCAGCCGAAGGGAGCUGGCAGCCCGUGUGGCUGAGGCAGGCCCACCAGGGCUCAGCUGCGGCGCGGAGGUGGAAGCACCGCUUCAUUCUGCUUUCAGCAGAGCAGCAAAAAUUGAACAAGAUUUUCUUUGCCACUUUAUUGGUCCACCUGGACUUGCAAAGGGUUGCCAACUAACGGAGCUGAUGAAAGGUGCCCGAAUCAUCCUCUCAGAUGAUCCCUGCAGCAGCCCAAAAAGGCAACGCAAUUUAACGUGCAGGCGGUCUCCGUAUUGGAUCCCCAGCGACGUUUGUGCCGUUGCUCGGCGUGUCCUGUGGGGAAAGCGUAGCAUCCAGCCGCUGGCAUC